UGGGGAAUAUUGCGCAAUGGGCGAAAGCCUGACGCAGCAACGCCGCGUGAGUGAAGAAGGCCUUCGGGUUGUAAAGCUCUUUCGGCUGGGAAGAAGGGUAUAAAUGUGAAUAAUGUUUAUAUUUGAUGGUACCAGAAGAAGAAGCACCGGCAAACUUCGUGCCAGCAGCCGCGGUAAUACGAAGGGUGCAAGCGUUGUUCGGAAUUAUUGGGCGUAAAGGGUUCGUAGGCGGUAUUGUAAGUCAAGUGUGAAAUCCCCGAGCUUAACUUGGGACGUGCACUUGAAACUGUGAUUCUUGAGACAUAGAGAGGGUGGUGGAAUUGUUGGUGUAGGAGUGACAUCCGUAGAGAUCAACAGGAACAUCAGAGGCGAAAGCGGCCACCUGGCUAUGUACUGACGCUGAGGAACGAAAGCGUGGGGAGCAAACA
Molecule: ribosomal RNA, 428 nt
Filed under: uncultured bacterium
Lineage: Bacteria
Description: partial 16S ribosomal RNA
Rfam family: Bacterial small subunit ribosomal RNA
Source: RNAcentral